Molecule: non-coding RNA, 97 nt
Filed under: Streptomyces sp.
Lineage: Bacteria; Bacillati; Actinomycetota; Actinomycetes; Kitasatosporales; Streptomycetaceae
Also listed under: 1 other name
Description: ZTP sequence
Rfam family: ZMP/ZTP riboswitch aptamer (pfl RNA motif)
About the family: Previously known as pfl RNA. ZMP is also known as AICAR.
Source: RNAcentral
CCGGUGGGCCGCAACUGGCGCGUAGGGAUGGAAUCAACCAUCGGGAAGCGGCCCCGUGAAUCCUCACGUGAACUUGCCGAGCGCCUGGGCCCCCGCA